RNAcentral lists this ribosomal RNA (411 nucleotides) under uncultured bacterium. Its description in RNAcentral is "bacterial SSU rRNA". It matches the Rfam family "Bacterial small subunit ribosomal RNA", at positions 9 to 422 of the family's 1533-position model. The record is from RNAcentral.
GAGUUUGAUCCUGGCUCAGAUUGAACGCUGGCGGCAUGCCUUACACAUGCAAGUCGAACGGCAGCACGGGAGCAAUCCUGGUGGCGAGUGGCGAACGGGUGAGUAAUGUAUCGGAACGUACCUUUCAGUGGGGGAUAACGUAGCGAAAGUUACGCUAAUACCGCAUAUUCUGUGAGCAGGAAAGCAGGGGAUCGCAAGACCUUGCGCUGAUUGAGCGGCCGAUAUCAGAUUAGCUAGUUGGUGAGGUAAAGGCUCACCAAGGCGACGAUCUGUAGCGGGUCUGAGAGGAUGAUCCGCCACACUGGAACUGAGACACGGUCCAGACUCCUACGGGAGGCAGCAGUGGGGAAUUUUGGACAAUGGGGGCAACCCUGAUCCAGCCAUGCCGCGUGAGUGAAGAAGGCCUUCGGG